UCGGAUCAGGUAGGAAUACCCGCUGAACUUAAGCAUAUCAAGCCGGGG
This 48-nucleotide ribosomal RNA is filed under the name Colletotrichum coccodes. RNAcentral's name for it is "partial 28S ribosomal RNA". Lineage: Eukaryota; Fungi; Ascomycota; Sordariomycetes; Glomerellales; Glomerellaceae. The record is from RNAcentral.